ACUAGACAAAUAGUAAUUAAAGAUGAAAGUGCUUGCUUAGGGAAAGAGUUGGUUGGCUUCCUGGUUCUAAGACGAUGGAUCCGUGGUCUCUGCCCUCAAAACGCUCACAACCUUUUUGAGUAGACAAGACACACAAAUCACCAAGAGAAGAGUUCAGAGAUAAAAGAGUGAUCUGUUCCCAGGCCCUGUUACUCCUCCCUGCGAACUGACACUGGGGGGUGUUUUUAGAAGAGGACUUGUGGGUGGGGCGACUAGGGAGUUGUUGCCAAAGGAAAAUGAUAACGCUUGUCCCGGAGGAGAGACACGAGAAAGAGCCAUCCAACUGUCAAGGUUGUGAGCGACAGAGAGAUGAUUAUCCUCCUAUGGUCUUCCUCAAAGCUUUGGAACAGAAGAAUAAAUUAGUUCUUAAAAGUUACGCAGAGGAAGGGAAGGGCAAGAUAAAUUGAUUCAGCUAGACGACGUCUAAGAUCACCCGGGCGCUGGGGCAAGCAGACAGUCCGGCUUCCACAUGGCAUCUGCUGAAUCGGAGUUUCCAAGGACACCCCUUGGGGAAGUGUGGUGGACGACCCUGAGUACCUGGGCACGGCUUACCCUUCAGUGUGACCUCAGAAUGAGCAAGCGGUUGUGUGGAAAGAAAUCUCCAGGCCCAAGAUGGAGUCGCUUCUGCCCAGGGGCCGCAGCAGCGACCCGAGGCUUACACAGCCUGCACGUCCCCGUGAGUGUUCCACUUGACCGGAAACACGGCAGAUCCAGUCAGCCAGCCCCCCCGACGCCAAACCAGCUCUGCGCUCUGUGCUUAACUUUGUUUGUCCCUCGUUCAUUUUCUGUCCUUCUCUUCGUUCUUUACUCUUGAUCCUACCCGAGCUUCCUGCUUUCCGCUCUGCUUGGCAGUUCACCCAAACCCUCGGGAGCCGAGACUGCCCAGUUCAUGUUAAAUAAAGUCUGUUUGUAUCACCCAAAUUGUGUUCUUUAAUCAUCUCUAACAGUUGUAAGGAGCAGGAUUAAGGGGAAGGAAGUUCUAACAAGGACUGGAUGGGAGGUCAGCUGAGAACGGGGGAGGCAGGAGCCCCCAUGAGGGGAGAGAUGCUCCGUAGGGUGUGGUGGGCGAUGGUGUGAAGACAGAUGAGCAGACAAUUAGACUAUCGUGAUCGCACUCCCUUGUGUGGCAACAUGCUUGGGGAUCUUCCCCUCUCAGGGCCACAGAUUCCCUGGCUACAGAAUGAAAUGGGUGAACCAGACACCAAGGACCCCUUCAGAUCCUGACACUACAUCUCAUAAUGCUUGGCAGCUUGGCUGAGGGCUGGUCCUGACCUCUGCUUGGAUAGUCCAGCCUCAUUUUGCCUUGCGCUGAGGGCCUCUGGAUAAAAACUCAAGUCAGAAAACCUAUCUGUAAAAGAAAAAACUUCUUGGAUGGCUAGUUCUCCCCCAAAUGAGUGACUGACCCCUGGCCCACCAAUGUCCCUCGGCGAUAACUCCUGAACAACCUCCACAGGCUUAACAAACAUUGCUCUAGUGAUCUAUCCCCACACCUCUUUAAAAGGGGACCUGAGUCUUAAAAAAGGAAAAUGGGUUUCUAGAAAUAGUCUUAGCCCUCUGUUGGGAGGCAGCUGAGAGCAUCUGUGGGGACAGCCAGAAGCCAUGAGAACCCCUUGAUUCCCCACUGAUCAAGACGACCAGUUGGUGUCAAGAUCAGUGAAGAAGAUAAUUCUGUGCCUAUGGAGAGCUUUGGAAUAAAAGCACAAUGCUAAGGUAAAAUGAGAUAAGUUUUCUAUCAAAGAAAAUACCACUCAAGUUUAGGUAGGUAAUUAAUUAAUUCACAAGUAGAUCCAGAGUGGGAGCGAUUACUGAACAAUGGUUAAUGAUAAAGAAUAAACCCUAAGGUAAGCGAUGAUCAAGAAGAUGAAACAGUUUUAGUUUGGAAUCCUAUUACAAUUCUAUUUCAAUAUAAAUAAGCUGACACCAGAAGCAAACGAUUAACCCCAAAGCCGCUGGCUGUUCAUUAGCUAAGGAAUAAUUUUACAUUUCAUUAUUAUUCAUGCUGGCUAAAUUUCCAUUAAAACCAAUUUAGUAAACUGGCCUGCUGAUGGGUUUGAAAUUAAAAGGAGAGAGAGAAGGCAGGGAAGGGACAAAACACGAAGCCGUCAUCUGAGCAUCUAGGGAUGGGAAAGUCAUGGGGGGCAGAUUGCCACUUUAAUUAAAGAUAAUGUCUCAAUUCACUUUCAAAAUGAGUCUCCGGAAAGUGCCUGGGAAAUUUUCCCUGGCCAGAGCGUCUGGCUCAUUCACGGAGGGGCGAUUUCUGUUGCCGGGAUGUCUGAUUGAAAGGAGGAACGGCCGGUUCCCAGCGCAGCCAGCUCGCCGUCCUGGCCGUCUGCUGAGCAGUCCCGGCGGGGAGAAAGGGCUUUGGGGCGAGCUCCUCAAAUAGCUCUGCUAGAGCCCGGGAAGGGGGGUCCAGGCUGCAUUCUUUGGGCCAUUACGCAGGCUUAAGGGCUUUUAUUAAACAUAGAAAUGUGACCAAACUACCAAAGACUGGCUUAGCUCACACUUCGGGUGCACUCGCUUUGGCAGAGCCCUGAACUAGGUACUUUCACGAAGUAGCUCAUUUAAUGCUUUUAACCUCUCUACUGGGGUAGAUUCUAACACUUGUCCCCAUUUUGCAAAUGGGAACGGCUGAGACCCGGGGGGUGAGUAAUGCUAUUGCUCAGCCAAGAUGGCACAGAGGCUGGAGUUCAAACCUGGGCCAUUCGCCCCUAGACCUGCGUACUUCACCGCUACGCUGCGCUGUCUCUGGACAAAAUAAUGAAACAACUCUGUGUCUUUUAAGUACAUCCAUCAACAGGCCACAAGGUACGUGGUGAGUCGUCAGUGGGAGCCAAUGGGCAAAGGUGAUGUACUCGGAAAUGUACUCUUCCUGAGGACUGCCAGGAGAGGUUGCUCAGAAGCUGGCUCACGCCUACGGGAGAGGCACUGGAAGCAAACCUGUGGUUCUUAGCCAACAGGGCAGUAUUCCCGGCACAUUUCAAGGAUCAGGUGUCCACAUCAGAAACCAACCCAGCUCUAGGAGCCCAAAAUCACUUUGUGGGGGGAAAUGGAGCUUUUUCUUUCACGUGCCUGGAUCAGGACAGCACCUGCUCUGGAAGCCAGAGGCCUCAGGGACUACAGAGCCCAGCUGCUUUGGAAUGCAACAGAAGAAAGAGCAAGAAUCUGGCUUUGGGUGACUCCAAUGCAGGAAGUAUUAUGUACCCACAAGAGAAAUAGCCAUGCAUUCUCUCCUGGCCUACAGGAGUUCUCAAAGGCUAGUUCCUUAGGAAGUCUUGAGCAGGACUCAUGUUGGCUUUCUGCUUCCCAUCGGUGGACAAGGUGGACAUGGAAACUCUAUGGUUGGUGAGUUCCCUACUUGGAUCACCCCCCACCAAGGAUCCCCAUUACCACCUGGACCUGCCUGCCCUCCUCUAAGCCCGAACGAGUUAGAGACCGUGUCCUAUGCACCUUCUCAGUCCUGCGUGGUCACUUAGGCAUCAGAUGCCUGAUCCAGAAGAGCAGGGUAGUCACCCAGCCUGGCUCUGCCACCACCUGCUCUUCCUCCAUCUAACUCCAUCUUCCUCAUCUAACCCUGGGCAAGCCCUGUAACCACAGUGCCCAUUCUCUUCAUUGGAAAAGGGUACUGAUGGCAGAUCUACUGCUUCAUGUGGCUGUGUUGUGAGGGUUGCCUAGAUAAUGUAUCUGAAAUGUUUAACGCGGUGCUGGGCACAUAUUAAAUGCUAGAUAAAUAAUGGCCAUGACUCCCAAUAAUAGUAAUGCAAGUGUCAAGUUUGAUGGCCAAGAUCUGGGGUUUGGAAACAUGCAAGGCUCAUUUACAAGCUUUGUGUAAAUGCCUAUGCUGGGUUCUCCACCAAGGAUCCACCUUAACCUCCCAGACCUGACGCCUUCUUCCUUUUAAUAGAUCUGCUUUCCCCCCAGGCCUGGGCAAGCCCUCAUUUCUCUACCUAAUGGGAGAAGCGAUUCUUUGCCAGAAAAGGGGGAGACAUCCUUAGAAAGGCCUCUAAAAGGCUGCCAUUUAUGGUGCAGAGAGAAGACCAUAGCUACUCUUUCAAUGACACAUGGACAAAAGCUCUUGUUGUGGACACAAAUAAGAAAAGUUGAACCCUUUGCCCGGUGUAAUUCACUUCAUUUAUUGACCAGGGUUCUCUCCCCCAAUCCCCGGUUCCUUUGCAUUUGUCAGCGGUUCAGAGACCCCUGGCAUUCAGCAUGAUUUGUAAUGUAAAUUAUAUAAUUGUACUUUCACAUAUUUUAACAUCAAAUGAAAUGAUUGACUACAGAAUAGGAGCUGUCUACAGGUGGGGGUCAAUUACCAUCUGAAUAAUCACAGUGCCACACAAGAAUAGCAUAGCCGCUGAGCGUGACAUAUUUUUAUCUCUAUGCAUUUCAAUGAAGUCAGGCUGGUACAUAAAAGGUUAUCACCUAGGAAACAUAUUUUCCUAAGCACAAGUUAAACAUGCAAGUGAGAUCAGCAAAGAUAUUCAAUUUAGCCAGUCAACCCUAACCUAUUAAUAUUUUAACAAAAUCCAGUGAGGAUAAUUUUUUUCUUUGAUCCCAUUUCAUGUGAGCAGCCGGGAAAGGGAAGAAAAAUUAAAAACAAAAUAGUCAAGCAUACAGAAUGAGGUUAUGCAUUAAGUGGGCUAUUUAAUGUUUCUGGCAUUUCAUAGCCCAGGGGAAAGUGUGGAUGGAUUUAACAAUCAAGAGCUGUGUUCCCUUGGCCACAAAGUUCGAGAAACAUAAAAUAAUCUAUACUUCCAAGCUGACAAAUCGUACCUGACACCCAGCUUCAUCUCACCGGGACUCAGGAGAUCAGCGUUAAUCAUAUGUUACAGGGAGUAAAAAGAAAAGUAAAUCACACCAGGCUGAAAAGUGAGAUGGAAGGUCUUCGGGCAAGGAUUUUAAUCAAUAAUAUGUGCGAUGAUCACCAGAAGCUAUUGUUUUAAUCUUCCAAUAUGAAAAGAAACGAAUGCAAAACACAAAGCUACCAAGAACCAGCCCCACUUCCAUGAUGCCAUGUAAGAACCAAAACCAGUCUGGCGGCUCAGCUUCCCAUUUUGACUCAUGACACACACAAUUUCUUUCUAAUGGGAUAAAGUCAAGCCCAUCCUUUAAGUUGCCUAUUUCUGGAGCCUCAGCUGCUGCCCAGGCCCUGGCUUCUAGGCUUGCUCGGUUUUUCUCAUGCACUCUAUGUCCACCGGUUUCGUGUGUCUGGCGUCCAUUCGUACUUCUUCUGAGGGCAUCUCCAUUAUCCUUGAGCACCUCCCCUCCCUGGCUUUCAGCCCCUGUGGUUUGGGUUCUGUUGGCUUCACCUCUGGCUCUGGGGAAGGGCAUGUCUCCAUCCUGGCAUCACAGAGAUGAAUUAGUUCAGGCAUGGGUGUGUGAUUCAUUAGAAAUCCAUGAAUUGCAACCUUGAGAGUCCUUGGUCAUACUGUCAUGAAAAAAGUUUGCUAAGGAUAGAACUGUGUGCCCCCCAGCCCCCAAAUUCAUAUUUUGAAGUCCUAACUGCCAGUACUCCUCAGAAUGUGCCCUUAUUUGGGCCUAGGGUUGCUGCAGAUGGGAUUAGUUAAGAUGAGGUCAUAUUGGAGUAAGGUGGACUCUAAUCCAUUAUGGUGGACCCCUAAUCCAAUAUGGCUGGCAUCCUCAUACAAAGAGGAAAUUUGGACACAAACAGAUAUGGAUAGAGAGAACCCUAAAUGAAGACAUUAGAAUGAUGGUUCUGUGAGUCAACAAACACCAGAGAUUGCCAGCAAAUCAUCAGAACCUCAGUGAGAACCUGGAACCAAUUCUUCCUCAUGGCCCUCAGGAGGAACUGAAGGGGUUCAGAAAGAGCAUCUCCAAGAUGUGCCACUUUGGCAUGGGGAUUACUGAGAGCUGAAGUCAAUCAAGGCCCAAGAGACUAACCCCUGGUCAGACUGCCAGACACCCAACUGCCAACUCAGCACAGCCUUCGGGUCUGAUGUUGCAAAAGAGCCUGGAGAUGUAAGAGAAAAUAUUCUAGUGUUGCCCAGCACGGAUGUGGGCUGAGCCAACAGGGAAAAGAAAUGUCUGUUUAUAAUCAAGAAAGAAAUCAAGAGCUGAUUAUGGGAGAGCUUCUGUCCAUUGUGCUGGAGAAGAAGCUCCGAGACGUGCUUGGUGAGUCAAAUCCCAGCCAUUUUGAAGAGACCCCAUAGUGUGCUCCAUGAUUUUAACAUCUGCUUAUUGUCUUGGCUUAAUUAAGCUCUUCCUUGAUGCUGAAUUAUUUUUCGACUCAACGAUCUUUUCUUGAACAUAAUGUUUAAAACAAACCCCCUGCCACAUGAGCAGGAAUGCAGUCUGUUAAGAACAUCUAUGAGUUGCCAUUAUUUUGAGAGCUUUGCCUACUUCUGUCAGUGAGCCCAUUUCUCAGGCUGGGACGGGUUCUUGGAGACUGAGAAAGUCACAGUGAUUUUUUUUCUCCACAAAGUUUCAUUUGUCAUGAAAAUGAACCUUUUGAUCUCAAAUUCUGAGGGUCUUUCACCUUAAAAGACUUCGGGCAGAGGACCCACACAUCAGAAAGACAUGAACAGCCUGGAAAACAAGCCCUCCCCCACCCAGGAUUUACAAUCUCAAUAGGAUUCCCUCAUGCCUGCAUGAAGGGUCUUGAGCCCAUGCAUGCCUGAUGUCACUGGCAUCUCCCCACACCCUUGUUCGAGAAGGAGGGCUGGAAUUAUUCUCAGCUCCCCAUGGGAAUGGAGGGUGGGCAGGAGGGAGCCUGAGAUUCGGAGAAGGCAAGUGUUUUGCCCAAGGUCACAGAUCUGGUAACGCAAGGUCAGGGUUGGAAACCAGAUGUCCUGAUUCCAUGUCCACCAGACUGGAAGCUUCUCAAUAUCAUUCAAAGCAACCUGUAUUUUAAGAGCAUGCAUUCCUGGGGAGCCUGGGUGGUUCAGUGGGUUAAAUGUCUGCCUUCAGCUCAGAUCAUGAUCCCAGGGUCUUGGGAUC
Molecule: long non-coding RNA, 6993 nt
Organism: Canis lupus familiaris (dog)
Lineage: Eukaryota; Metazoa; Chordata; Mammalia; Carnivora; Canidae
Exons: 7
Source: RefSeq, a predicted model, not a curated record